UCCAUGGAGGACAGCUUCCUGGCGUGACUCAUAGUACCCUCCCGUUUCAGGCGAGAUCACGACGCCCCGGAAAUUCGUUUUCCGUUCUCCUGCACCGUGCUCCGACAGCCGCCGUCGCCUUUCCGGCGAUCUCAUCCGGCAGUAUUCUCUUUCUCCGGUCGUGCAUAGGCCAGCGCGAACGGCCCCGAGCGAUCGAACGGAUGAAAUUCCCCUUCUUUCUGCGCGAGACGAUCAGCGACCGCCCAUA
Molecule: unclassified non-coding RNA, 247 nt
Filed under: Hevea brasiliensis (rubber tree)
Lineage: Eukaryota; Viridiplantae; Streptophyta; Magnoliopsida; Malpighiales; Euphorbiaceae
Source: RNAcentral